Molecule: long non-coding RNA, 204 nt
Filed under: Bos taurus (domestic cattle)
Lineage: Eukaryota; Metazoa; Chordata; Mammalia; Artiodactyla; Bovidae
Description: long non-coding RNA NONBTAT025638
Source: RNAcentral
UUUCAAUCUCUUAUGUAAUUCUACCCCAAAAAUGACUGCAUUUCUGUAACAGGAAAUGAUUUGUAACCCCAUAAUAUGAAAAGUAUAAAAUAUAAGCUCUGUAAUAGGCAUAAUUACACUUUUUUUCACUUUGAAAAUGAGGGCAUACUACGUUCUUUUUUUUUGGAAAAUUUCAGCAUUGAACUAAAUUCAAAACAUUGUGUG